Molecule: unclassified non-coding RNA, 404 nt
Filed under: soil metagenome
Description: partial contains 5.8S ribosomal RNA, internal transcribed spacer 2, and large subunit ribosomal RNA
Rfam family: 5.8S ribosomal RNA (bases 1-120)
Source: RNAcentral
GAUGAAGAACGCGGCGAAAUGCGAUAGGUAGUGUGAAUUGCAGAUGUAACGUGAAUCAUCGAAUCUUUGAACGCAAAUUGCACUCUCUGGUAUUCCGGGGAGUAUGCCUGUUUGAGGUCGCCAAAUCAACAUCGAAAUUCAUUUGCUUUUGUAAAUGUUUUAUCGGAUUUGAGCCGUCUUUUAUUUUUUUAAUUAAAGUGGCUUAAAAUGUAUUUUUUGGUAUCGAAAAACGUUAUUUUACGAUCAAAUUGAUUAAAAAAACAAACGUUUCGAAUGCCGUCUUUUAAUGUAAUACGCUUGACUGUGGUGUUAAUCAUAGUUUCAUUCGUAUACGAUUUUUUAAUUUUUGACCUCAAAUCAGGUAAGAACACCCGCUGAACUUAAGCAUAUCAAUAAGCGGAGGA